CAGUGGGUGGGAGCUGAUGCUGGCUAGAAGACCUGAGUCUUCCGAGAGGCAGCUUGAUUCCUGGAAAAGACUACUGGGCUGGAAGUCAGGAGGCCUGGGGUACUCUCAGUUCUGCCGCUAACAUGCUGCAUGACCAUGGGCUGACUGGAGAACCUGAGGUGCUGUGCAGAGACCAGAGGAAGGCUUUGAUCCCAAGCCUGCAGCCGGUCCAGCUCAGCACCUGGCUCACAUUAGGCACUCAGUGAAUGUUGAUGUGAACAAAUGAACUGAUUCAAAGAAGUGUCUCCUGAAGUUGCUUCUUUCCAAUCCAGCUAACAAAUGCAGUAUUCUGAAUGGAGGUACCAGAGAUCACGUCAUCUUCAGCUUUCUGCUGCAGAUCCACAUGAAGAAUCACACAUAUCCUUAAUGUUAGAUAGGACUUUGCAUUGAACACUUUAAAAUGUGAUGUCUGGCUUUGAAGAGGGUGUAUAACACACAUAAUUUACUGUGCAUCAGUCUCACUAAUGGAAAAUAAACAAUAACCCAUAAA
Molecule: non-coding RNA, 529 nt
Filed under: Pan troglodytes (chimpanzee)
Lineage: Eukaryota; Metazoa; Chordata; Mammalia; Primates; Hominidae
Source: RNAcentral